UACAGUGACAGCUUCUUCUCGUUCUAGGGUUCGCCCACUGUAUCGAUACGCACUUUCUCUCUCUGGAUUUUUAUUUUAUUUUUAUUUUUUCCCUCUGAGAGUCCAAGCAAUUUUCUCGCUAGCCAAACGGUGGAUUCCGAGAUUGCGAGGUGUUUUAUUGGUUGAUCUGUCUGUUUUCCUAUAAAUUUUUUAGGUUUCAAGGUGGUUUGGUUGGAUCGGAGUGAGAUUUGAUUGGUGCAAACCAUGUUUUUACUCGAUUGGUUCUAUGGAGUUCUAGCAUCGCUUGGUUUAUGGCAGAAGGAGGCCAAGAUCUUGUUUCUAGGGCUGGAUAAUGCCGGAAAGACGACUUUGCUUCAUAUGUUGAAAGAUGAGAGAUUAGUUCAGCACCAGCCGACCCAGUACCCAACAUCAGAAGAGUUGAGUAUUGGGAAAAUCAAGUUUAAGGCAUUCGAUUUGGGAGGGCAUCAGAUUGCUCGCAGAGUUUGGAAGGAUUACUAUGCAAAGGUGGAUGCAGUUGUUUACCUGGUGGAUGCCUAUGACAAGGAGAGAUUUGCAGAGUCGAAAAAAGAGCUGGAUGCUCUCCUCUCCGACGAGGCCUUGGCCCAAUGUUCCAUUCCUUGUUCUGGGCAACAAGAUCGAUAUCCCAUACGCUGCCUCAGAAGAUGAGCUGCGUUACCACCUGGGUCUAACAAACUUCACCACAGGCAAGGGAAAGGUAAGCCUGGCUGACUCAAAUGUCCGGCCCCUUGAGGUAUUCAUGUGCAGCAUCGUCCGCAAAAUGGGUUAUGGAGAUGGCUUCAAGUGGCUCUCCCAGUACAUCAAGUAGAGCACAACAGGAUGUAAGAUUUGGCUCAUCUUAAACUUUAUUACUAAACCAAAGCUGGACAUGUGUCUGUUUGAAAUCACUAUUGCAAAUAUUUCACUUAUUUUACAUGUUUUUGUUAUUUUUUUUCUUGGUGGUGAAUGACAGACAUGCUCUCCAUGCCCACAGUGAAAUUUUCAGAUUUGUUGUCUGAUGUUAAUACAGAGUUGGAGAGGGAGUUGUUUGUUGUGGGUUGGUUGUUAUUAUUACAAAGUAUGAAUCAAUUGUUUACUAUCACUGCCUUCACAAA
Vitis vinifera (wine grape) is the source of this 1112-nucleotide RNA transcript. It is a transcript of the gene named GTP-binding protein SAR1A-like, with no coding region annotated. The record is from RefSeq and is a predicted model, not a curated record. The transcript has 3 exons. NCBI's taxonomy places the organism in Eukaryota, Viridiplantae, Streptophyta, Magnoliopsida, Vitales, Vitaceae.